GAGUGUAAUGUACUAGAAGAUGGGGGAUCGCAGAAACUUAGGCUUUUUCUGUUUUCUAGUAGUGAUUUUGAUGAUGGUCAGUUUGGCUUGGGAAGCAUGGAGGGUGACUCUGAGAUUCAAUAUGUGGUUGCUGUGAAUGGAAUGGACCUAGAAUCAAGAAAGAACUCAAUUGGGUUGGCAAGCACUUCAGAUAACAAUUUGGAUGAGUUACUCAAUCUAAAUGUUGAAAGGGAGACUGGUCGAGUUGCAACAGAAUUACCUGGACCUAGUACUGCACCUUCGACUGUCAAUGUACAUUCAUCAGCAGUCCAAUCUUCUCAACCACUGGUGCCGAAUUUUUCUGGUGCUUAUGAAUCCAAUUCAAAGCCUUACCAAGGUCAGAAAAUGCGUCACGGAGAAGCUGAACAACAUCAG
Molecule: long non-coding RNA, 414 nt
Filed under: Vitis vinifera (wine grape)
Lineage: Eukaryota; Viridiplantae; Streptophyta; Magnoliopsida; Vitales; Vitaceae
Description: long non-coding RNA (VVIN_LNC000018)
Source: RNAcentral